RNAcentral lists this ribosomal RNA (450 nucleotides) under uncultured bacterium. RNAcentral's name for it is "partial 16S ribosomal RNA". It matches the Rfam family "Bacterial small subunit ribosomal RNA", at positions 354 to 796 of the family's 1533-position model. The record is from RNAcentral.
GUGGGGAAUUUUGGACAAUGGGCGCAAGCCUGAUCCAGCAAUGUCGCGUGCAGGAAGAAGGCCUUCGGGUUGUAAACUGCUUUUGUACGGAACGAAACGGUCCGGGUUAAUACCCUGGGCUAAUGACGGUACCGUAAGAAUAAGCACCGGCUAACUACGUGCCAGCAGCCGCGGUAAUACGUAGGGUGCAAGCGUUAAUCGGAAUUACUGGGCGUAAAGCGUGCGCAGGCGGUUUUGUAAGACAGGCGUGAAAUCCCCGGGCUCAACCUGGGAAUUGCGCUUGUGACUGCAAGGCUGGAGUGCGGCAGAGGGGGAUGGAAUUCCGCGUGUAGCAGUGAAAUGCGUAGAUAUGCGGAGGAACACCGAUGGCGAAGGCAAUCCCCUGGGCCUGCACUGACGCUCAUGCACGAAAGCGUGGGGAGCAAACAGGAUUAGAUACCCUUGUAGUCC